Molecule: ribosomal RNA, 807 nt
Filed under: uncultured bacterium
Lineage: Bacteria
Description: bacterial SSU rRNA
Rfam family: Bacterial small subunit ribosomal RNA
Source: RNAcentral
UCGAGGGGAAACGACAUCGAAAGCUUGCUUUUGAUGGGCGUCGACCGGCGCACGGGUGAGUAACGCGUAUCCAACCUGCCCACCACUUGGGGAUAACCUUGCGAAAGUAAGACUAAUACCCAAUGAUAUCUCUAGAAGACAUCUGAAAGAGAUUAAAGAUUUAUCGGUGAUGGAUGGGGAUGCGUCUGAUUAGCUUGUUGGCGGGGUAACGGCCCACCAAGGCGACGAUCAGUAGGGGUUCUGAGAGGAAGGUCCCCCACAUUGGAACUGAGACACGGUCCAAACUCCUACGGGAGGCAGCAGUGAGGAAUAUUGGUCAAUGGGCGAGAGCCUGAACCAGCCAAGUAGCGUGCAGGAUGACGGCCCUAUGGGUUGUAAACUGCUUUUAUAAGGGAAUAAAGUGAGUCUCGUGAGACUUUUUGCAUGUACCUUAUGAAUAAGGACCGGCUAAUUCCGUGCCAGCAGCCGCGGUAAUACGGAAGGUCCGGGCGUUAUCCGGAUUUAUUGGGUUUAAAGGGAGCGUAGGCCGGAGAUUAAGCGUGUUGUGAAAUGUAGACGCUCAACGUCUGCACUGCAGCGCGAACUGGUUUCCUUGAGUACGCACAAAGUGGGCGGAAUUCGUGGUGUAGCGGUGAAAUGCUUAGAUAUCACGAAGAACUCCGAUUGCGAAGGCAGCUCACUGGAGCGCAACUGACGCUGAAGCUCGAAAGUGCGGGUAUCGAACAGGAUUAGAUACCCUGGUAGUCCGCACGGUAAACGAUGGAUGCCCGCUGUUGGUCUGAAUAGGUCAGCGGCCAAGCGAAAGCA